UAAGUCCGGCAACGAGCGCAACCCCUGUCCUUAGUUACCAUCAUUAAGUUGGGGACUCUAGGGAGACUGCCGGUGUUAAACCGGAGGAAGGCGGGGACGACGUCAAGUCCUCAUGGCUCUUACGGCCAGGGCUACACACGUACUACAAUGGCAGGAACAAACAGUUGCGAGACCGAGAGGUUGAGCCAACCUGUAAAACACUGUCUCAGUCCGGAUUGGAGUCUGCAACUCGACUUCAUGAAGCUGGAAUCGCUAGUAAUCGGAGAUCAGCAUGCUCCGGUGAAUACGUUCCCGGGCCUU
RNAcentral lists this ribosomal RNA (300 nucleotides) under uncultured bacterium. RNAcentral's name for it is "bacterial SSU rRNA". It matches the Rfam family "Bacterial small subunit ribosomal RNA", at positions 1081 to 1382 of the family's 1533-position model. The record is from RNAcentral.